This 434-nucleotide ribosomal RNA is filed under the name uncultured Oscillospiraceae bacterium. RNAcentral's name for it is "bacterial SSU rRNA". It matches the Rfam family "Bacterial small subunit ribosomal RNA", at positions 341 to 792 of the family's 1533-position model. Lineage: Bacteria; Bacillati; Bacillota; Clostridia; Eubacteriales; Oscillospiraceae. The record is from RNAcentral.
ACGGGAGGCAGCAGUGGGGAAUAUUGGGCAAUGGGCGCAAGCCUGACCCAGCAAUGCCGCGUGAGGGAAGAAGGCUUUCGGGUUGUAAACUUCUUUUAAGUGGGACGAUAAUGACGGUACCACUUGAAUAAGCUCCGGCUAACUACGUGCCAGCAGCCGCGGUAAUACGUAGGGAGCAAGCGUUAUCCGGAUUUACUGGGUGUAAAGGGCGUGUAGGCGGGACAGCAAGUCUGAUGUGAAAGGUGGAGGCUCAACUUCGUGACUGCAUUUGAAACUGACGUUCUUGAGUGUUGGAGAGGCUAACGGAAUUCCUAGUGUAGCGGUGAAAUGCGUAGAUAUUAGGAGGAACACCAGUGGCGAAGGCGGCUUACUGGACGAUAACUGACGUUGAGGCUCGAAAGCGUGGGGAGCAAACAGGAUUAGAUACCCUGGUA